CUUAAGUCUACUACACUUUAAUGUAUAUAAUAUGUGAAAAUAAAUAAAUUAUUAUAAUAGCUUCUGGAUAUUAUAAAAACUGUUGUUAUGUUUUUGUUAAAGACAGAAUUCCUUUAACUUUUCAAUGAUAAAGCAAACAUUGUCAAAAAUUUGUGAACAAGCCAACAUUCGCUCAGUUAUAACAAGCUGGUAAAGUAUGCCGAAUACCGCCUAAGUAAAACUUAAAAUGAAGCUAUUUGUUAAACAAAGUGGAUGAAUGGACAGUACGAAAAGCAUACCUAUAUAAGUGAAGAUUGAAUUACAUAUACCUUUUUUACUUUUAGAAUCAUUCAAAGAUAGUGAUGUCAGUAUAUCAAAGUGUGUGGAACAUUAAUUUUGGUAGACAGAAGUUAUCAAUUGACGAUACAGAUAUUCUUAAAUUUAUAAACAGUUGGUUAUAGUAAGAUUGCAGGUUAUUAUAAGAUUAUAAUAGUAGAGGAAAAUAUUUGAACAGUAAUCAGCUGCUGUCCGAUGACAUAACAUUAACUGCCAUUGCAUUAAUUAGUCAGCAUUUUGUACAAUUGGUAAGAUCCCACCAAAGCACAUACAUAUAAAAAGAGCUUCAACUUUAAACUCUGUCAAAAUUACAAUCAUGCAGCUGAAUUGAAGUUAGUACAAAAUUUCAUUCCGGGGAUCUAUGAUGAGUUUAUUUACCUUUUUUAGAUAAAGAAUAAAAAACCAUUAUUAUUAUUAUAAUUAUUGCAAUCAUCAUUUCCUAAUUUUAGUUACAAUGUAUAUGUUAUGUACAAGUUAU
This 793-nucleotide long non-coding RNA is filed under the name Mytilus galloprovincialis (Mediterranean mussel). The record is from RNAcentral. Lineage: Eukaryota; Metazoa; Mollusca; Bivalvia; Mytilida; Mytilidae.